GGUGCCGUAGCCUAGUGGUUAAGGCGAUGACUAAAAAUCUUUUUGGAUAUUCCCGCGCAGGUUCGAAUCCUGCCGACGACG
Molecule: transfer RNA, 81 nt
Filed under: Dreissena polymorpha
Lineage: Eukaryota; Metazoa; Mollusca; Bivalvia; Myida; Dreissenidae
Rfam family: tRNA
About the family: Transfer RNA (tRNA) molecules are approximately 80 nucleotides in length. Their secondary structure includes four short double-helical elements and three loops (D, anti-codon, and T loops).
Source: Rfam by way of RNAcentral